CCUACGGGAGGCAGCAGUGGGGGAUAUUGCACAAUGGGGGGAACCCUGAUGCAGCGACGCCGCGUGGGUGAAGAAGCGCCUCGGCGCGUAAAGCCCUGUCAGCAGGGAAGAAAAUGACGGUACAUGAAGAAGAAGCCCCGGCUAACUACGGACCCGCAGCCGCGGUAAUACGGAGGGGGCAAGCGUGAUCCGGAUUUACUGGGUGGAAAGGGGGCGCAGACGGCGAUGCAAGCCAGGAGUGAAAGCCCGGGGCCCAACCCCGGGACUGCUCGUGGAACUGCGUGGCUGGAGUGCAGGAGAGGCAGGCGGAAGUCCUGGUGUAGCGGUGAAAGGCGUAGAUAUCAGGAGGAACACCGGUGGCGAAGGCGGCCGGCUGGACUGCAACUGACGUUGAGGCCCGAAAGCGUGGGGAGCAAACAGGAUUAGAUACCCGUGUAGUC
RNAcentral lists this ribosomal RNA (440 nucleotides) under uncultured bacterium. Its description in RNAcentral is "partial 16S ribosomal RNA". It matches the Rfam family "Bacterial small subunit ribosomal RNA", at positions 338 to 795 of the family's 1533-position model. The record is from RNAcentral.